This 495-nucleotide ribosomal RNA is filed under the name uncultured bacterium. RNAcentral's name for it is "partial 16S ribosomal RNA". It matches the Rfam family "Bacterial small subunit ribosomal RNA", at positions 28 to 507 of the family's 1533-position model. The record is from RNAcentral.
GACGAACGCUGGCGGCGUGCCUAAUACAUGCAAGUAGAACGCUGAAGGAGGAGCUUGCUUCUCUGGAUGAGUUGCGAACGGGUGAGUAACGCGUAGGUAACCUGCCUGGUAGCGGGGGAUAACUAUUGGAAACGAUAGCUAAUACCGCAUAACAGUAGAUAUCGCAUGAUAUCUACUUGAAAGGUGCAAUUGCAUCACUACCAGAUGGACCUGCGUUGUAUUAGCUAGUUGGUGAGGUAACGGCUCACCAAGGCGACGAUACAUAGCCGACCUGAGAGGGUGAUCGGCCACACUGGGACUGAGACACGGCCCAGACGCCUGCGGGAGGCAGCAGUAGGGAAUCUUCGGCAAUGGACGGAAGUCUGACCGAGCAACGCCGCGUGAGUGAAGAAGGUUGUCGGAUCGUAAAGCUCUGUUGUAAGAGAAGAACGAGUGUGAGAGUGGAAAGUUCACACUGUGACGGUAUCUUACCAGAAAGGGACGGCUAACUACGUG